GCCUCUUCUAGCGGAAACCUUGGAUUGGAAACAUGCAGAGGAUUCACAAUGGAGUCUUUCGAUGAUUCGGUGACGCUUCAGCAUCUCGAUUGGUGUGUUCCCAUUGUCGGUUCUGAUGAAGAAAGUUCCCUCAUUGAGCGAGGAUGAAGCCAACAUUGAACAGAUCUGAGUGAUGACCAAGCCCGUCCCAGAUAGUCUGGAUCGAACCUGGGCCUGGAAGGAUCUGCCAGGUGUUCUGCCUUCAAAAUCAAAUCCGUAGAACUAAAGGGUUUCUCUCCUGUAUGAAUCCUCAUUGUGUAUUUAGAUUUGCCCCUUUGGUAAAAUCUUUUACCACACUUGGAACAAAAUCUCUGGAGUUAUAAAAAAUCCUCUACAGCUCAGAAUUGUAUUCAGGUGUCUUGUAAAAAUCCAGCACUUCCCAAUAAAAUAACUCAACUAA
This is a long non-coding RNA of Limanda limanda (common dab), 439 nucleotides long. RefSeq lists it as uncharacterized. NCBI's taxonomy places the organism in Eukaryota, Metazoa, Chordata, Actinopteri, Pleuronectiformes, Pleuronectidae. The transcript is spliced from 5 exons. The record is from RefSeq and is a predicted model, not a curated record.